RNAcentral lists this transfer RNA (67 nucleotides) under Bos taurus (domestic cattle). It matches the Rfam family "tRNA". From Rfam's summary of the family: Transfer RNA (tRNA) molecules are approximately 80 nucleotides in length. Their secondary structure includes four short double-helical elements and three loops (D, anti-codon, and T loops). RNAcentral also lists the same sequence under 4 other names. The record is from Rfam by way of RNAcentral. Lineage: Eukaryota; Metazoa; Chordata; Mammalia; Artiodactyla; Bovidae.
UUCCUAGUGGCUCAGUGCUAAAGCGUCUGCCUGCAACGCAGGAGAUGCAGGUUCCAUGCCUAGGUUG